AUGAGGGCCCUGAGUACUGUACAUUGUGAUGGAUAUUGGUGGUGGAUGAGGGCCCUGAGUACUGUACAUUGUGAUGGAUAUUGGUGGUGGAUGAGGACCCUGAGUACUGUACACUGUGAUGGAUAUUGGUGGUGGAUGAGGACCCUGAGUACUGUACAUUGUGAUGGCUAUUGGUGGUGGAUGAGGACCCUGAGUACUGUACAUUGUGAUGGAUAUUGGUGGUGGAUGAGGACCCUGAGUACUGUACAUUGUGAUGGCUAUUGGUGGUGGAUGAGGACCCUGAGUACUGUACACUGUGAUGGAUAUUGGUGGUGGAUGAGGACCCUGAGUACUGUACAUUGUGAUGGCUAUUGGUGGUGGAUGAGGGCCCUGAGUACUGUACACUGUGAUGGAUAUUGGUGGUGGAUGAGGACCCUGAGUACUGUACAUUGUGAUGGCUAUUGGUGGUGGAUGAGGGCCCUGAGUACUGUACACUGUGAUGGAUAUUGGUGGUGGAUGAGGACCCUGAGUACUGUACAUUGUGACGGAUAUUGGUGGUGGAUGAGGGCCCUGAGUACUGUACAUUGUGAUGGAUAUUGGUGGUGGAUGAGGACCCUGAGUACUGUACAUUGUGACAGAUAUUGGUGGUGGAUGAGGGCCCUGAGUACUGUACAUUGUGAUGGAUAUUGGUGGUGGAUGAGGACCCUGAGUACUGUACACUGUGAUGGAUAUUGGUGGUGGAUGAGGACCCUGAGUACUGUACAUUGUGAUAGCUAUUGGUGGUGGAUGAGGGCCCUGAGUACUGUACACUGUGAUGGAUAUUGGUGGUGGAUGAGGACCCUGAGUACUGUACACUGUGAUGGAUAUUGGUGGUGGAUGAGGACCCUGAGUACUGUACACUGUGAUGGAUAUUGGUGGUGGAUGAGGACCCUGAGUACUGUACACUGUGAUGGAUAUUGGUGGUGGAUGAGGACCCUGAGUACUGUACAUUGUGAUGGAUAUUGGUGGUGGAUGAGGGCCCUGAGUACUGUACAUUGUGAUGGAUAUUGGUGGUGGAUGAGGACCCUGAGUACUGUACACUGUGAUGGAUAUUGGUGGUGGAUGAGGACCCUGAGUACUGUACACUGUGAUGGAUAUUGGUGGUGGAUGAGGACCCUGAGUACUGUACACUGUGAUGGAUAUUGGUGGUGGAUGAGGGCCCAGAGUACUGUACACUAUGAUGGAUAUUGGUGGUGGAUGAGGACCCUGAGUACUGUACAUUGUGGUGGAUAUUGGUGGUGGAUGAGGACCCUGAGUACUGUACACUGUGAUGGAUAUUGGUGGUGGAUGAGGGCCCUGAGUACUGUACACUGUGAUGGAUAUUGGUGGUGGAUGAGGACCCUGAGUACUGUACUGCCCUCUCCACUGAAGAGAGUUUUGUCUUGGUGGAUUGAUAUUUGA
Molecule: long non-coding RNA, 1419 nt
Filed under: Oncorhynchus mykiss (rainbow trout)
Lineage: Eukaryota; Metazoa; Chordata; Actinopteri; Salmoniformes; Salmonidae
Description: lncRNA (ENSOMYG00000064662.1)
Source: RNAcentral